UCCACUGUAAAAUGCCAUUUCAUAUCAUUCAACACAGAGAACUCAAGCUACAAAAACCACUUUGUUUGAAAACUUGAAGAAAUGUAAAAACCUUUCCAUAGAUCUUAGUUCACUUUACUAUCUUCCCGCCUAAUUCACUCAUUCAUACUGAGAUUUUUAUUUGGCUGUGUAUCCCAGGAGAAGACAUCUGGGCUGGAAUGAGGUGCAUCGCAUUUCCAUGCCUGUGAAAGAAGGGAGCCAACUCUGUCUCUGUGUUCAUGCAAAGAAAAUUUUAUUCUACUUAUUCCUACAGGUUUUUAUAGCAUACAAGGUAGUUUCCUACAUGACUGUUUUCAGGUAUU
This is a long non-coding RNA of Choloepus didactylus (southern two-toed sloth), 341 nucleotides long. RefSeq lists it as uncharacterized. The record is from RefSeq and is a predicted model, not a curated record. The transcript is spliced from 3 exons. NCBI's taxonomy places the organism in Eukaryota, Metazoa, Chordata, Mammalia, Pilosa, Megalonychidae.